This 332-nucleotide non-coding RNA is filed under the name Deltaproteobacteria bacterium RBG_13_52_11. RNAcentral describes it as "bacterial SSU rRNA". It matches the Rfam family "Bacterial small subunit ribosomal RNA", at positions 1 to 315 of the family's 1533-position model. Lineage: Bacteria; Deltaproteobacteria. The record is from RNAcentral.
AAACUGGAGGGUUUGAUCCUGGCUCAGAAUGAACGCUGGUGGCGUGCCUAACACAUGCAAGUCGAGCGAGAAAUUCCUCUUCGGAGGAAGAGUAAAGCGGCGCACGGGUGAGUAACGCGUGGGUAAUCUACCCUCGAGUCUGGGAUAACACCCCGAAAGGAGUGCUAAUACCAGAUAUGACCGCAGCUAUUAUUGUGGCAGUGGUAAAAGGUGGCCUCUCCAUGGAAGCUAUCGCUUGGGGAUGAGCCCGCGUCCUAUCAGCUUGUUGGUAGGGUAAUGGCCUACCAAGGCUAAGACGGGUAGCUGGUCUGAGAGGACGACCAGCCACACUG